Molecule: long non-coding RNA, 1877 nt
Organism: Ictalurus punctatus (channel catfish)
Lineage: Eukaryota; Metazoa; Chordata; Actinopteri; Siluriformes; Ictaluridae
Source: Ensembl
CCCUACUUCACAACUACAGUACUAAUGUACAGAAGAUCUUUCAUGGGAUAAAAUCCAUCAUGAGGAUCAAUAAUAAAAACGAUACGUUUAUUUUAGAGAAAGUAAAGAUACAGCUCUGAGUCUUCUCCUAUAACGCCUGAUGAGGUUGGAGAAUACAUGGCGAGGGAUCUGAGAGCGUUCCUCCAGACAGAACCUCUCCAGAUCCUUCACAUUUCAGGUCCAUGCUGGUGGACUCUCCUCUUCAGUUCACCCCACAGGGUUUCUAUGGGGUUCAGGUCAGGGGACUGGGGUGGUCAGGGCAGGACCUUGAUUUUGUGGUCAGUAAAACAUUUCUGUGUUGAUGUUGAUGUUUUGGAUCAUCGUCCUGCUGGAAGAUCCAACCACGGCCCAUUUGAAGCUUUCUGUCAGAGGCAGUCAGGUUUUCAUUUAAUAUCUGUUGAUAUUUGAUAGAGUUCAUGAUGCCAUGUAUCCUAACAAAAUGUCCAGGUCCUCUGGCAGAAAAACAGCCCAAAACAUUAAAGAUCCACCUCCAUAUUUAACCGUGGGCAUGAGGGACUUUUCCAUACGGCUCCCUCUCUGUGUGCUCCAAAACCACCUCUGUGUUUAUUACCAAAAAGCUCUAUUCUGGUUUCAUCUGACCACAGAACCCGGUCCCAUUUGAAGUUCCAGUAGUGUCGGCACACUGAAGACGCUCGAGUUUGUUUUUGGAUGAGAGUAGAGGCUUUUUUCUUGAACCCCUUCCAAACAGCUUGUGGUGAUGUCGGUGACUUCAGAUUGUAGUUUUGGAGACUUUCUGACCCCAAGACACGACUAACUUCUGCAGUUCUCCAGCUGUGAUCCUUGGAGAUGUUUUAUCCACUCGAACCUUCCUCUUCACAGUGCGUUGAGACGAUACAGACACACGUCUAAUUCCAGGUCCAUUCAUAACAUUUCGAGUCGACUGGAACUUCUUAAUUAUUGCCCUGAUGGUGGAAAUGAGCGUUUUCAAUGCUUGUGCUAUUUUCUUAUAGUCACGCCCCAUUGUGUGAAGCUCAACAACCUUUUGCUGCACAUCACAGCUAUAUUCCUUGUUCUCACCCAUCGUUAUGAAUGAAAUUUGGCCUACAUGUUCCCUCAUACUCAUCCCUGUGAAACAGGAAGUCAUGGUAGAACAAUUUCCUGUUCAUAGUCGCCCAGGUGCACUAAAAAUAGUUUUUUUAAUAUCAAUGGGAAUAUACUUCUAACAUGUUUCUCUCAUGAAUUCACAGGGGUGCCAAUAAUUGUUGCACACCAAUAUUUAAAGAGUUUUUAAAAUAAAAAUAUCUGUUGUGCUUGCAAUUGUUCGAUAUCUACGAGAGCAGAGUAUUUUUGUGAAUGUUUUGAACAAAAGUGUAAACAAUAAAGAAUUUUUCACAGCCUUCUUUGCUCAUAUUUAUCAAGGGUGCCAAUAUUAACGGAGGGCGCCGUAGUUCCUUAAAUCCUGUAGCUAAAAUGGUGUGUAAAUGAAAUCCGGCACACUGCACGGUGUGAAGUCUGUAAGGUGGAUACGGUGUGUUUUAAUGCGGUGGUGAAAGUGGCGAGCGUAAGCAGGUCAGCUCCUGCCUGCAGUCUGGCUCAUCCACGUCUCAGGAGACUGCAGCAUCUUCUACAAACACUGCUGAACCUGCAUACACACACUCACAGGUGUGUGUGUGUGAGAGAGAGUGAGAUAUUAAGGUGAUAGGAGUUGGAUAUAUCUACGGUGAAAUGUCACAAGUGCUGCAGUAGACAGCUGAAUAUCUCUUCGAUCUGAACACAGCGUCUCUGCUCAGGCCCGUUGAGAGAGCUACACCCCCUUUACGAGAGCCACGCCCCCAUUAAGAGAGCCUCUUUCGGAGGUGUCAGACGAGCUCAUAUCC